RNAcentral lists this ribosomal RNA (1350 nucleotides) under Micromonospora sp. CF010. RNAcentral's name for it is "bacterial SSU rRNA". It matches the Rfam family "Bacterial small subunit ribosomal RNA", at positions 72 to 1433 of the family's 1533-position model. Lineage: Bacteria; Bacillati; Actinomycetota; Actinomycetes; Micromonosporales; Micromonosporaceae. The record is from RNAcentral.
CUAGGAGUUUGACCCUGAGCCUGGAUCAAACUCUAGAGUGAGAACCACGUGAGCAACCUGCCCCUAGCUUUGGGAUAACCCUCGGAAACGGGGGCUAAUACCGAAUAUUACUUCUGGCCGCAUGGCUGGUGGUGGAAAGUUUUUCGGCUUGGGAUGGGCUCGCGGCCUAUCAGCUUGUUGGUGGGGUGAUGGGCUACCAAGGGGACGACGGGUAGCCGGCCUGAGAGGGCGACCGGCCACACUGGGACUGAAACGCGGCCCAGACUCCUACGGGAGGCAGCAAUGGGGAAUAUUGCACAAUGGGCGGAACCCUGAUGCAUCGACGCCGCGUGAGGGAUGACGGCCUUCGGGUUGUAAACCUCUUUCAGCAGGGACGAAACGAGAGUGACGGUACCUGCACAAGAAGCACCGGCCAACUACGUGCCAGCAUCCGCGGUAAGACGUAGGGUGCGAGCGUUGUCCGGAUUUAUUGGGCGUAAAGAGCUCGUAGGCGGCUUGUCGCGUCGACCGUGAAAACUUGGGGCUCAACCCCAAACCUGCGGUCGAUACGGGCAGGCUAGAGUUCAGUAUGGGAGACUGGAAUUCCUGGUGUAGCGGUGAAAUGCGCAGAUAUCAGAGAGGAACACCGGUGGCGAUCGCGGGUCUCUGGGCCGAUACUGACGCUGAUGAGCGAAAGCGUGGGGAGCGAACAGGAUUAUAUACCCUGGUAGUCCACGCUGUAAACGUUGGGCGCUAGGUGUGGGGGGCCUCUCCGGUUCCCUGUGCCGCAGCUAACGCAUUAAGCGCCCCGCCUGGGGAGUACGGCCGCAAGGCUAAAACUCAAAGGAAUUGACGGGGGCCCGCACAAGCGGCGGAGCAUGCGGAUUAAUUCGAUGCAACGCGAAGAACCUUACCUGGGUUUGACAUGGCCGCAAAACUCGCAGAGAUGUGAGGUCCUUCGGGGGCGGUCACAGGUGGUGCAUGGCUGUCGUCAGCUCGUGUCGUGAGAUGUUGGGUUAAGUCCCGCAACGAGCGCAACCCUCGUUCGAUGUUGCCAGCGCGUUAUGGCGGGGACUCAUCGAAGACUGCCGGGGUCAACUCGGAGGAAGGUGGGGAUGACGUCAAGUCAUCAUGCCCCUUAUGUCCAGGGCUUCACGCAUGCUACAAUGGCCGGUACAAUGGGCUGCGAUACCGUGAGGUGGAGCGAAUCCCAAAAAGCCGGUCUCAGUUCGGAUCGGGGUCUGCAACUCGACCCCGUGAAGUCGGAGUCGCUAGUAAUCGCAGAUCAGCAACGCUGCGGUGAAUACGUUCCCGGGCCUUGUACACACCGCCCGUCACGUCACGAAAGUCGGCAACACCCGAAGCCGGUGG